GACGAACGCUGGCGGCGUGCCUAAUACAUGCAAGUAGAACGCACAGUUUAUACCGUAGCUUGCUACACCAUAGACUGUGAGUUGCGAACGGGUGAGUAACGCGUAGGUAACCUGCCUAUUAGAGGGGGAUAACUAUUGGAAACGAUAGCUAAUACCGCAUAAUAGUAUGUAACACAUGUUAGAUGCUUGAAAGAUGCAAUUGCAUCGCUAGUAGAUGGACCUGCGUUGUAUUAGCUAGUAGGUAGGGUAAAGGCCUACCUAGGCAACGAUACAUAGCCGACCUGAGAGGGUGAUCGGCCACACUGGGACUGAGACACGGCCCAGACUCCUACGGGAGGCAGCAGUAGGGAAUCUUCGGCAAUGGGGGGAACCCUGACCGAGCAACGCCGCGUGAGUGAAGAAGGUUUUCGGAUCGUAAAGCUCUGUUGUUAAGGAAGAACGAGUGUGAGAAUGGAAAGUUCAUACUGUGACG
Molecule: ribosomal RNA, 472 nt
Filed under: Streptococcus anginosus
Lineage: Bacteria; Bacillati; Bacillota; Bacilli; Lactobacillales; Streptococcaceae
Description: bacterial SSU rRNA
Rfam family: Bacterial small subunit ribosomal RNA
Source: RNAcentral